This 1526-nucleotide long non-coding RNA is filed under the name Equus caballus (horse). RNAcentral's name for it is "lncRNA (ENSECAG00000049325.1)". Lineage: Eukaryota; Metazoa; Chordata; Mammalia; Perissodactyla; Equidae. The record is from RNAcentral.
UAGGCAUUCCAAACUUAACGUGCUUAACUAGGAACACUUGCUUCCCUCUUCCUCUCUCUCGCUCUGCUCCAAACUGUCUCCCCCUUCUUAGUAAACAGUGUCAUCUUCCAUCCUUCUAGAAGCCCAGGCCAAGAUGUACGUGCCAUCCCUCAUUCUUCACGUCCUCAUCCUCCAUGUUUGAUGCAUCAACACGUCAUCUCAGCUGACUUUCCAAGGGAUUCUUCGAACUGAUCAUUUUCUCUUGGUUUCCAUUACUAGAAUCCAGCUAGUUCAGUCACUACAAGAUCUGGGGCCUGGCUGCCUCCCAACUUGGUCUCAUCUUCUUCUUCCCCUCCCUCAGGAUGCUCCAGAGAAGAACUGAAGUUACAAUGCUCCGGUCCUGAAGAUGCCAGAAACUGGAUUAAUCAAGUCAAAGGACCGAGCUGGCAUUUGCCCUGGUCUUCCCGUCUCGCUUCCUCCUUCUAACAGAUAUGUAGGGGGUGUCCACUGGCUAUGAGGCCCCAUGCAAGGCACUGACAAUAUUGGGUGAGAAAAAAAAGAAAUAUUUUCUGCCUGCAUGUAGUUUGCAGAUAAUAGGAGUUAAGUAGGCGUUAAUCAGAGUCACAUGAGCACCUGAUCACAAUCAGAAACAGAUGCUGUGAAGGAUCAACUCAAGCUGCUCUGAGAGUAAAAGGAUUUAACCUGAGAGGCAGGGCGUGGCCAGGGGGGCAGACGGUCUCGCUGAGGAAGCUGACGUUUGCCUGAGACCGGAAGUAGGAACAGGAGGUUUUGGGUGGAAACUGAGAACAAGGUAUUUGGCAAAGAAGUUUGUUGAGGCCCUGGUAGAACGAUUGUCUCCAAACGUCCUUUUUCCUAAGAGAUCCACUCUUGGGAAGUACAGUCACUGCUCCACUGAACAAGGAAAAUGAUCCAUGAUGAUGAAUAAAAGCAUUACUUUAAUGUUAAUCUUCAUGGAAGAGAACCUACACCUACCGGCAGGAAACAGUUCAUCUGUUUAAUGUUUGAGUUCCAGGUGGCUCUACUCAAGGAUGGAUCUUGGCGGUUGGGAGUCAAGAAGGAACAAGAAAAGACCAGAGCCAGAGGUCAUGUUUGGGUUACCAAUGAAGUCAGUUUUCCAGAUGACAAUUUUUCAGAUUUUCUUAUUAACCUACAGAUUCUCCUGGAAGUAGACUCUCCCAUCAAGCCUGAAAGUCACUGCACUUUUUUUGUGCUUAUCUUCUCCAGGGAAGAAGUCUUGAAAACUCAGAUGCCAUCACCAGCUCUUCUUCCCAACCUCCCAUUUGCUGUUGAACUGCCGCACUCUGACAUCAUCCUGACCAGUCACUGACAGGACCCCCUGAAAACCAAAUCCAGACAGUGCUUGUAAAAGGUACUGCACAGGACUGUUCUACUCCACUUGACAAUCAAGAGCUCUUUGUACUUAUUGAACUUUUCCUUGGUUUCUGCUCUCCUUAUUCUUCUCCAGCCUAUCUGGUCCAUCUUUCUCCUCUUAGCCUAAAAUGGUGUUGUUUCCCAAGGUACUAACU